This 354-nucleotide long non-coding RNA is filed under the name Felis catus (domestic cat). RNAcentral describes it as "lncRNA (ENSFCAG00000053761.1)". Lineage: Eukaryota; Metazoa; Chordata; Mammalia; Carnivora; Felidae. The record is from RNAcentral.
UGAAGACUGAGCCCUAUGCUUUUUUUUUUUUUUUUUUUUUACCUGAGUAUUAAUUCAGUCUCUUCUGCGUGCUAGUUGCUGAGGAGAACGCAAAAGAAACGUAAAUGUGUGUUUUGGUCCCCCAGAAGAUCGCCAUCCAGCUCGGGGACAAAUGCACCGGAGACAAGUCAGAAGCAAAGGCAGUGCCCAGGGAAGUGGCAGAAUGAGGCACGAAUACAGGAGCCCAGGAAGGGAGAGACGGGCCACCUGGGGAGGCUGAGGACUUUGUCACAGAGGAGGUGGGGCUUGGGCGGGAGCCAGCAGGAUGGGCAGGAGUUCCCCAGCACCCAGCGGAACGGGACCCGGGAGGCGCUG